GACGAACGCUGGCGGCGCGCCUAACACAUGCAAGUCGAACGGAGCGGCGAGAAGCUUGCUUUUCUUAGCUUAGUGGCGAACGGGUGAGUAACGCGUGAGUAACCUGCCCUGGAGUGGGGGACAACAGUUGGAAACGACUGCUAAUACCGCAUAAGCCCACGAUCCGGCAUCGGGUUGAGGGAAAAGGAUUUAUUCGCUUCAGGAUGGACUCGCGUCCAAUUAGCUAGUUGGUGAGGUAACGGCCCACCAAGGCGACGACUGGUGGCCGGACGGGGGGGUUGAACGGCCACAUUUGGACUGCGGCACGGCCCCGACUCCUACGGGAGGCAGCAGUGGGGGAUAUUGCACAAUGGAGGAAACCCUGAUGCCGCGACGCCGCGUGGAGGGAGAAGGUUUUCGUAUUGUAAACUCCUGUCGUUAGGGACGAUAAUGACGGUACCUAACAAGAAAGCACCGGCUAACUACGUG
Molecule: ribosomal RNA, 468 nt
Filed under: uncultured bacterium
Lineage: Bacteria
Description: partial 16S ribosomal RNA
Rfam family: Bacterial small subunit ribosomal RNA
Source: RNAcentral